This 286-nucleotide ribosomal RNA is filed under the name Mycoplasmoides gallisepticum. RNAcentral's name for it is "Mycoplasma gallisepticum partial 16S ribosomal RNA". The stretch from base 1 to 134 matches the Rfam family "Bacterial small subunit ribosomal RNA", at positions 1399 to 1533 of the family's 1533-position model. The record is from RNAcentral. Lineage: Bacteria; Bacillati; Mycoplasmatota; Mycoplasmoidales; Mycoplasmoidaceae.
ACACCAUGGGAGCUGGUAAUAUCUAAAACCGUGAGAAAACCGGAAGGAAGCGCAUGUCUAGGGUAGGGUUGGUGAUUGGAGUUAAGUCGUAACAAGGUACCCCUACGAGAACGUGGGGGUGGAUUACCUCCUUUCUAUGGAGUAUAUUAAUACACUAACACGAUAUACACCUGUUACAUAUAACGGUGAAACAAUUAAAACCCAGCAAGAAAAGUUAAACCCAUAAAAGCAAAUUGAUAACUUAAAAAUUGUUGGUCGGAUUCUAUUCAGUUCUCAAGGGGUAUUU